This 732-nucleotide ribosomal RNA is filed under the name Triticum aestivum (bread wheat). RNAcentral's name for it is "partial small subunit ribosomal RNA". Lineage: Eukaryota; Viridiplantae; Streptophyta; Magnoliopsida; Poales; Poaceae. The record is from RNAcentral.
AUGUGGACCUGUCUUCGUCAGCGCUAUGAGCCCUCUGGUGAUGCCUUAUACCUUUCUGUUGUUCGUCAGGAGCAUGCUCUUCAGCAAGGUGACUCUACUAUUGAUGACUUUUAUGCACAAAGUUCUGCUAUCUGGCGCCAGCUUGAUUCUCUCCGCAGUGCUGGUUGUCGUACUUGCCCCUGCUGCCAGGCUGUCCAGGCCAAUUUGGAGUUUCAUCUCGUCUACGAGUUCCUGUCUCGGCUCCGUAAGGAGUUUGAGCCCUGGCGUGCUCAGUUGUUUGCUCGUGGCCGUAUUUCUCUCAUGGAGGCGCUUUCGGAGAUUCGUGCUGAGGAGACUCGCUUACGUGGUGCUGGUUUGCUGGAGGUUCCCUCUGUGCUCGCUACUCGGGCUUCUUCCACUCCACCUGCUGCACCGACCCAUUCUCGCUCAAGUGCUCCGCCGCUCUUGCCCACUCCUUCUCGAGGCUCAGGUCGCCCCCGUCCACAUUGUGACUACUGCAACAAUGAUGGUCAUAUUGAGUCCCAGUGCUACACAAAGCGGAAACACCUGCGCAAGGCGCGAUCAUCAUCCUCAGGGACUUCGUCAUCUCCCUCGACAGCUUCAGCCAUUGCUUUGACUGAGCAGGAUAUUCUGAGACUUAAGCGUCUGCUCGCGGCUUCAGGUUCUUCCUCGACGGGUACUGCUGGUUCUGUGACUGAUGCUUCCCGCACUGAGCAACCGCCCUCUACAUAG